CUCUGGCAUGAGAUGCCAAGGAAAGCUCCAAUGCCACAGCACAGGCUGAGCUCUCGUGCAGAAUCUGUCCCCUGAGAGAAGGUGGAUGGAUGCUGACCUGCUUGCGUGACUUCUGCAGCAGCCUUGUUUUCCACAAGGUGACCAGUCCUAGCAUGGGAGAGAGAUGCAAAUGCAGCAGAAAAGCAGCAUGGGGAGAGGUACAGGAAGAGAGUGGAGGAGGAAGAGGAGGCUGUUGGUGCAUGAAGCCAUUUUUAAACAGCUAUCUGGAGUUGUUAUCUGAUAGCAGUGGCACUGAAUAUUGCAGAGGAAUCCCAGCACUUUCUCAAGAUCUCCAGAGAUCUUACCUUUCAUGAUCAGCUUGUACUCCCCAGCAGUUCCUCAUGCCUUGCUCAACACCAUAACAAUGACUGAGACAUCUCAAGAUCUGUGGGCCCCUGCAACAAUCUCAUAUGAAGGGUCCACAUAAUUUUGUUCCAGUCUUUCAUCAUCCAACGAAGGAAGUCCUCAGCGGAGCUGCUGUUUCAUACAUGGAUGGAUGGAUGUAUCACUUAUUUUAUUUGCCAUUCACGGUAAUUAUGGAAACAGUUAAAGUAGGCGAUCAUAACUGUCAUUUCUAGGAUUAAAAGCUAUGAACGAAGAAGUUUCCUAAUACUCAGUAAAGUUCAUAUUUGUGACUGUAUUGGGGAAUCACAGUAUUUUAGAUGCAAUAUGGGAAUAUAUAAAUAAAUAUUGGAUACCUAAUAAUUCAAGUAUUUCUUUUCUAAACCUCAAUGCUAAACUCUCAUGACUGUAGAGAUGGG
This is a long non-coding RNA of Gallus gallus (chicken), 800 nucleotides long. The record is from Ensembl. Lineage: Eukaryota; Metazoa; Chordata; Aves; Galliformes; Phasianidae.